Molecule: ribosomal RNA, 301 nt
Filed under: uncultured bacterium
Lineage: Bacteria
Description: partial 16S ribosomal RNA
Rfam family: Bacterial small subunit ribosomal RNA
Source: RNAcentral
CAGUCGCCGCGGGAAUACGUAGGGUCCGAGCGUUGUCCGGAAUUAUUGGGCGUAAAGAGCUCGUAGGCGGUUCGUCGCGUCUGCCGUGAAAUCCUCAGGCUCAACCUGAGGCGUGCGGUGGGUACGGGCGGGCUAGAGUGCGGUAGGGGAGAAUGGAACUCCUGGUGUAGCGGUGGAAUGCGCAGAUAUCAGGAAGAACACCGAUGGCGAAGGCAGUUCUCUGGGCCGUAACUGACGCUGAGGUGCGAAAGCGUGGGGAGCAAACAGGAUUAGAUACCCCCGUAGUCCCUGUCUCUUAUAC